CUCCGCGUGAGCAUGCGCAAAAGGGCUCUGCGUCGGAGACGUCGCGUAAGGUCGCUUCCGUGUCAGAGACUUAAGAUGUACAGCUCAAUAUGCCCGGAUUGAUGGCUGCUAAGGAAACGUUGCCCUUGACAGAAAGAAGACUGACCCCUCCAUACACAAACUACCAUCACUACCCCAGUUUAAAGCAUACUGCACCUGUUGUACCUCAUGGCUUGCAAUAAACUUAAUUUUCUGCAUGUGAAGGUGCUGUGUGGGUUGGCAAUAAGGUGAACACGGUUUAUGGACACCUGAUAGCCCGUUGGCCCGCUGAAUAUUGAUCCAACAUAAUAAAAGUGGCUAAAGAAAAGGGUUGAAA
This is a long non-coding RNA of Podarcis raffonei (Aeolian wall lizard), 355 nucleotides long. RefSeq lists it as uncharacterized. Lineage: Eukaryota; Metazoa; Chordata; Lepidosauria; Squamata; Lacertidae. The record is from RefSeq and is a predicted model, not a curated record. The transcript has 2 exons.